GCGGCAGGCUAAACACAUGCAAGUCGAGGGGUAGAGGAAGCUUGCUUCCUUGAGACCGGCGCACGGAUGCGUAACGCGUAUGCAACCUACCUUUUACAGAGGGAUAGCCCAGAGAAAUUUGGAUUAAUACCUCAUGGUAUAUAUCAUUCGCAUGUUUGAUAUAUUAAAGUUCCAACGGUAAAAGAUGGGCAUGCGUCCUAUUAGCUAGAUGGUAAGGUAACGGCUUACCAUGGCAACGAUAGGUAGGGGGCCUGAGAGGGAGAUCCCCCACACUGGUACUGAGACACGGACCAGACUCCUACGGGAGGCAGCAGUGAGGAAUAUUGGACAAUGGGCGCAAGCCUGAUCCAGCCAUGCCGCGUGCAGGAAGAAGCAUCUAUGGUGUGUAAACUGCUUUUGUACGGGAAGAAACACUCCUUCGUGAAGGAGCUUGACGGUACCGUAAGAAUAAGGAUCGGCUAACUCCGUGCCAGCAGCCGCGGUAAUACGGAGGAUCCAAGCGUUAUCCGGAAUCAUUGGGUUUAAAGGGUUCGUAGGCGGUUUGGUAAGUCAGUGGUGAAAGCCCGCAGCUCAACUGUGGAACGGCCAUUGAUACUGGCAGACUUGAAUUCAAGGGAAGUAACUAGAAUAUGUAGUGUAGCGGUGAAAUGCUUAAAUAUUACAUGGAAUACCAAUUGCGAAGGCAGGGUACUACUUGUGGAUUGACGCUGAUGGACGAAAGCGUGGGAAGCGAACAGGAUUAGAUACCCUGGUAGUCCACGCCGUAAACGAUGGAUACUAACU
Molecule: ribosomal RNA, 783 nt
Filed under: uncultured bacterium
Lineage: Bacteria
Description: bacterial SSU rRNA
Rfam family: Bacterial small subunit ribosomal RNA
Source: RNAcentral